RNAcentral lists this ribosomal RNA (236 nucleotides) under uncultured bacterium. Its description in RNAcentral is "partial 16S ribosomal RNA". It matches the Rfam family "Bacterial small subunit ribosomal RNA", at positions 791 to 1032 of the family's 1533-position model. The record is from RNAcentral.
UAGUCCGCACAGUAAACGAUGAAUACUCGCGGUUGGCGAUACACAGUCAGCCGCCCAGCGAAAGCGUUAAGUAUUCCACCUGGGGAGUACGCCGGCAACGGUGAAACUCAAAGGAAUUGACGGGGGCCCGCACAAGCGGAGGAACAUGUGGUUUAAUUCGAUGAUACGCGAGGAACCUUACCCGGGCUUGAACUGCCAGUGACAGAUGCAGAGAUGCAUUAUUCUUCGGACACUGG